Molecule: ribosomal RNA, 542 nt
Filed under: uncultured archaeon
Lineage: Archaea
Description: bacterial SSU rRNA
Rfam family: Archaeal small subunit ribosomal RNA
Source: RNAcentral
CAGCAGGCGCGAAAACUUUGCAAUGCGGGAAACCGUGACAAGGGAACUCUGAGUGCCCGUUAAAUCGGGCUGUCCAUCGGUUUAAAUAACCGGUGAAGAAAGGGCCGGGCAAGACCGGUGCCAGCCGCCGCGGUAAUACCGGCGGCUCGAGUGGUGGCCACUAUUACUGGGCUUAAAGCGUUCGUAGCUGGUUUGUUAAGUCUCUGGGGAAAUCUUCCGGCUUAACCGGAAGGCGUCUCAGGGAUACUGGCAGACUAGGGACCGGGAGAGGUGAGAGGUACUCCAGGGGUAGGAGUGAAAUCCUGUAAUCCUUGGGGGACCACCUGUGGCGAAGGCGUCUCACCAGAACGGCUCCGACAGUGAGGGACGAAAGCUGGGGGAGCAAACCGGAUUAGAUACCCGGGCAGUCCCAGCUGUAAACGAUGCGCGUUAGGUGUAUCGGUGACCACGAGUCACCGAGGUGCCGAAGAGAAAUCGUGAAACGUGCCGCCUGGGAAGUACGGUCGCAAGGCUGAAACUUAAAGGAAUUGGCGGGGGAGCAC